AGGGUACAAGCCCUUGGUUUCUUUAAGAUUGUGAUUUAUUUUGCAAUUUAAAUCUUUGUUUUGACAUAAAUUUGAGAUUCAGUUCUUUAAGAAACUUUUUCUUCUUCAACAAUGGCGGCUUGAUUUGAUUUUUGCUCUCUCUCAUAGGUAAAACUCGUUUCAUCUACGUAGCAUCGAGUAUCCGAAUGGAUAUAUUUAAAUGGAUUCGUUAUUAUGGACACUAAAAAAUUAUUUGUUGAU
RNAcentral lists this small RNA (240 nucleotides) under Arabidopsis thaliana (thale cress). RNAcentral's name for it is "ATSL097610". Lineage: Eukaryota; Viridiplantae; Streptophyta; Magnoliopsida; Brassicales; Brassicaceae. The record is from RNAcentral.